Molecule: non-coding RNA, 76 nt
Organism: Cordylochernes scorpioides
Lineage: Eukaryota; Metazoa; Arthropoda; Arachnida; Pseudoscorpiones; Chernetidae
Source: the annotation of a GenBank genome assembly
GUCCAUUAUCUAUAAGGUUGGUUAAACCGUUUGGUUUACGACCACUACGACCCGGGUUCGAUCCCCGCAUUGGACA